This is a long non-coding RNA of Helianthus annuus (common sunflower), 1378 nucleotides long. RefSeq lists it as uncharacterized. Lineage: Eukaryota; Viridiplantae; Streptophyta; Magnoliopsida; Asterales; Asteraceae. The record is from RefSeq and is a predicted model, not a curated record. The transcript has 4 exons.
UCUAACCACCAUCCAAGUCAAUAUUCACCGUUGGAUCAUGCUGAGAUGAAAUCUCAGCCGUUUAAACUCACAAAAAUAACCGCUGUGGUGGCGGUUCACGGCGGUUUAGAGCAGUUAUUAGUAGUUACCUGGAUCCCUGUUUUCACUCCCCAUGUUCACGUUAGUUUUGAGCGGUUAUUAGUAGUUACCUGGGUAGUGUUGUCAGUUGAGGAGAGUAAUUAGAAAUUUUUGAGUAGUUAUUUAAUUUGAAUUUGCAGUUCCUAGCUAUCUCAACCACGUUCUUCCAACUGUUGCCGCCUAAAUUUAUGGCUAUAAACUCCCUUGGAACGAUCCAUCCCUAACGCACCCUCCUGCUUCUUCUCCCCAUUAUCUUCUCUCUGCUCAAGGAUUAAAUAUAUGAGAAGUCAUAUGUGAGUUCAAACCCUAGAAUUCCCCAUGUUGGUUCAGAUGCAACAAAUCCUCUUUUGCUCUGCAGCCUCUAAUAGGAACAUUUUUUUUCUCCUACUGUCCCCACCAGAUAUUACAGGAAUUUGGUAACUUGCUUUUAAUUUUGAAAAGGAUGCGAGAAGGAGAUCAUCCUGGGAAGAAAAAGUAGCGCAUUGAAUGGAAUUUUUAAGGUCUCUUCUUGAUGACAUUUUAAACGAUGACCGGCCACUAUAACCAAAAGGUACCUUUCCACUAGCGGCAUCGGUGUUGGCUCUUUCUCUACCUAUAUCGAAUUUCCCCUUCAUACAGUUUUUGUCAUCGAUCAGGUGCGGAUACGAUGGUUGAACUUUGCGUCUUCACUCUCGAAUUAUCAUUCCAGUUUCCGUUCCUAGAUCAGUUUCAAAGAGAGGCUACAUUCUGUGUUGGAUUAAACCAUCAGAGUUAUCAGACAAGGAUAUUUGGAAUGGGAGAGUUACAUUUGGAAGUUUGUGUUGAGCACUAAGAGGGAAUAUAUGGUACCAUACUUAAUCUUAGCUGAAAAUCAGUUUGUUAAUGGGAGAGUUACAUUUGGAAGUUUAUGUGGAGCACUAAGAGGGAAUAUAAGGAGCACUGUUAUAUUCUUUCAUUCAUCUAUCUACAUACUGGAACUUGGAAGGAGUACUAUUUUUUACACCUAUCUACGUUGAUUACAAAUUUUACUGUUUUAGGAAGUAUUUGGUAUACCCAAGCAGUACUUGUGUUGAGGACAUAUGUCUUAAUUUGUACUACAUCAAAUUUUUAUUCAAUUAUGAGAUAUAGUUUCUUCAAAUUGCCAAUGACCUCUCAAGCUCAACUCGUAGGAGGACUUGAGUUCUUCUUAGAAGACUCAAGUUCAAAUCUCAUUUGUUGCAAAAAAAGGAGUGAGGCACUGUUGGGCAGUGAUAGGAGACCUAGGGUACGAUCCUUGAGCCAA